GUGACCCCAGGAUGGGCGAGGCCACCCGCUGAGUUUAAGCAUAUCAAUAAGCGGAGGAAGAAAAAAACUAUACA
RNAcentral lists this ribosomal RNA (74 nucleotides) under Dendrobium huoshanense. RNAcentral describes it as "partial 26S ribosomal RNA". The record is from RNAcentral. Lineage: Eukaryota; Viridiplantae; Streptophyta; Magnoliopsida; Asparagales; Orchidaceae.